CAGCCUGGCCUGGAGUAUUCCAAAUCUGUUUAAAAAACGAUCAAUUUUGCCUGGCAUUGUGCGUAGCCUGGGCAAUACUCAAGGGGUCGGCGCGGCGCAUCCCCCCGAGUGACGCGGCGAUAAAGGUACUCAGGGACCGCGUACCUUUGUUCUACUCCUAAUGGUCUUAACCCGGAUUCCCCCCCAGAAGCCGG
This is a non-coding RNA of Pseudomonas sp., 194 nucleotides long. Lineage: Bacteria; Pseudomonadati; Pseudomonadota; Gammaproteobacteria; Pseudomonadales; Pseudomonadaceae. The record is from Rfam.